This 500-nucleotide ribosomal RNA is filed under the name Xanthomonas axonopodis. RNAcentral's name for it is "bacterial SSU rRNA". It matches the Rfam family "Bacterial small subunit ribosomal RNA", at positions 8 to 491 of the family's 1533-position model. The record is from RNAcentral. Lineage: Bacteria; Pseudomonadati; Pseudomonadota; Gammaproteobacteria; Lysobacterales; Lysobacteraceae.
AGAGUUUGAUCCUGGCUCAGAGUGAACGCUGGCGGCAGGCCUAACACAUGCAAGUCGAACGGCAGCACAGUAAGAGCUUGCUCUUAUAGGUGGCGAGUGGCGGACGGGUGAGGAAUACAUCGGAAUCUACUCUUUCGUGGGGGAUAACGUAGGGAAACUUACGCUAAUACCGCAUACGACCUACGGGUGAAAGCGGAGGACCUACGGGCUUCGCGCGGUUGAAUGAGCCCGAUGUCGGAUUAGCUAGUUGGCGGGGUAAAGGCCCACCAAGGCGACGAUCCGUAGCUGGUCUGAGAGGAUGAUCAGCCACACUGGAACUGAGACACGGUCCAGACUCCUACGGGAGGCAGCAGUGGGGAAUAUUGGACAAUGGGCGCAAGCCUGAUCCAGCCAUGCCGCGUGGGUGAAGAAGGCCUUCGGGUUUGUAAAGCCCUUUGUUGGGAAAGAAAACGCAGUCGGUUAAUACCCGAUUGUUCUUGACUGGUACCCAAAGAAAUAGC